This 441-nucleotide ribosomal RNA is filed under the name uncultured bacterium. RNAcentral describes it as "partial 16S ribosomal RNA". It matches the Rfam family "Bacterial small subunit ribosomal RNA", at positions 338 to 795 of the family's 1533-position model. The record is from RNAcentral.
CCUACGGGCGGCAGCAGUGGGGAAUAUUGCACAAUGGGGGAAACCCUGAUGCAGCAACGCCGCGUGAGUGAAGACGUAUUUCGGUAUGUAAAGCUCUAUUAGCCGGGAAGAAGACAGCCGGUCCCUGACUAAGAAGCCCCGGCCAACUACGUGCCCACCGCCGCGGUAAUACGUAGGGGGCAAGCGUUAUCCGGAUGUACUGGGUGUAACGGGAGCGUUGGAGGCUGUGAAAGUCUGAAGUGAAAGCCCGUGGCUCAACCGCGGAACUGCUUGGGAAACUGUAGAGCUUGAGUACUGGAGAGGCAGGCGGAAUUCCGAGUGUAGCGGGGAAAGGCGUAGAUAUUAGGCGGAACACCAGGGGCGAAGGCGGCCUGCUGGACAGAAACUGACGUGGAGGCUCGAAAGCGUGGGGAGCAAACAGGAUUAGAUACCCUAGUAGUC